GAUGAACGCUGACCGAAUGCUUAACACAUGCAAGUCGAUGGGGAAGUGGUGCUUGCACCAUGGUAACCAUGGCGGACGGGUGAGUAACGCGUAAGGAACUUGCCUGCGGGACUGGGAUAACAGCAGGAAACUGCUGAUAAUACCGGAUAAGGUCAUUAAGCUGCAUAGCUUAGCGAUGAAAGGAGACGCCUGCGGAGAGCCUUGCGUCCUAUUAGCUAGUUGGAGGGGUAACGGCCCACCAAGGCGAAGAUAGGUAGCCGGCCUGAGAGGGUGGACGGCCACAAGGGGACUGAGAUACGGCCCUUACUCCUACGGGAGGCAGCAGUGGGGAAUAUUGGACAAUGGGGGCAACCCUGAUCCAGCAAUUCUGUGUGCACGAAGACGGUUUUCGGAUUGUAAAGUGCUUUGAGCAGGGAAGAAGGAAGUGACGGUACCUGCAGAAGAAGCGACGGCUAAAUACGUG
This 463-nucleotide ribosomal RNA is filed under the name uncultured bacterium. RNAcentral describes it as "partial 16S ribosomal RNA". It matches the Rfam family "Bacterial small subunit ribosomal RNA", at positions 28 to 507 of the family's 1533-position model. The record is from RNAcentral.